CCGGCAGCCCAAUAGGGGGCCGGAAAGCCGGGGACGCAGGUUUCCGACGCGUCUCCUUUCCAUCUCGCUUUACGGAGGAUUUGGUUAUGAGAA
This 93-nucleotide small RNA is filed under the name Rhizobium tibeticum. RNAcentral describes it as "Repression of heat shock gene expression (ROSE) element". It matches the Rfam family "Repression of heat shock gene expression (ROSE) element". From Rfam's summary of the family: This family represents a 5' UTR cis-regulatory element found in heat shock mRNAs and is known as the ROSE (repression of heat shock gene expression) element. The ROSE element is a negative regulator of heat shock gene expression. Lineage: Bacteria; Pseudomonadati; Pseudomonadota; Alphaproteobacteria; Hyphomicrobiales; Rhizobiaceae. The record is from Rfam by way of RNAcentral.